UGCGAACUGCUCUGGCCUUGCUCUUCUUUCCAUCUGUAGCAGUUCUUCUUCAUAUGUCCCUCUAUUCUACAAUGAUGACACUUAUAUGUUGGUUUUCUGCCAUCAGUGGACCUGCCCCUGCUCUUGCUUCUGCCUCUCCAUUUGCUUUUGCUACUCUUUUGUUGCCUCCCCCGGUUCUAUAUGUUGGUUUUCUGCCAUCAGUGGACCUGCCCCUGCUCUUGCUUCUGCCUCUCCAUUUGCUUUUGCUACUCUUUUGUUACCUCCCCCGGUUCUCUGUGACAAAGGCAUGGGUCUGAUCUGUG
RNAcentral lists this long non-coding RNA (302 nucleotides) under Nicotiana benthamiana. RNAcentral's name for it is "long non-coding RNA (NBEN_LNC025987)". The record is from RNAcentral. Lineage: Eukaryota; Viridiplantae; Streptophyta; Magnoliopsida; Solanales; Solanaceae.